UGCUAACUUCCUUGGUUCACAGUUCCAGAAAUGGGACCAAUCAAUCAAAAGGAUGAAGAUAAGAGAGAAGUACUUUUUUCCUUUGACCUCACAAGGAAAUGUUGCUAGGCUCCUGCUCUUCUCAGUGGGGAGAAUCAUGUCUGUUCAGCAGUAGGAGCUGCUUGGAUGCUGGACGCUGCAGCUGAUAGGAAGCAGUCAGAAGAUUUGAAUGGAGAGAAGAGGUACCAAGGGAGGACUCCAUCAUGCUUGCUUGAAGCAGGACCACUCUAAGCUCUCAUGUACUUGGCUGGAAAGUUGACUGAGCAAGUUCUAGGAGGAUUGUCCUAGAGGAAUGAUACAGCGAGAUUUUAAUUAUGUCAUUUAAUUUUUCCAACUAACAAAAAUUUAUUUUCUCUCCUUCUAUCUGGAGGAGAAAAAAGAAAACUAAAACCAUUAUAACAAACACACACACAUAUAUGCAUACACAUACAUAGAGACAUGUAUGCAUAUAUAUGUAUGUGUAUGUAGUCAAGCAAAACAAAUUCUCACAUUGACCAUGUCACAAAAAUAUAUGUCUCAUUCUGCAC
This 566-nucleotide long non-coding RNA is filed under the name Vombatus ursinus (common wombat). Its description in RNAcentral is "lncRNA (ENSVURG00010000886.1)". Lineage: Eukaryota; Metazoa; Chordata; Mammalia; Diprotodontia; Vombatidae. The record is from RNAcentral.